CCUCCUCCGUUCCUUAAAGGGAUAGCCAUCAUUUACUCAUCCUCUUGCCGUUCCAAACCUGAAUGACUUUCUUUCUUCUGUUCUGUGGAACACAAAAUGGAUAUUUUGAAUAAUGUACUAGUCACUGUUUUUACGGAUAAGAUGGAUAAGAACUGAUCAAAGGAAACUAAAGGCCUACUUUGCAGUGCUGAUAAGCUCUCUUUAAGCACAAGAACUAUGUUCAUUUUUGCUGUUUAGAAAGGAGAACAUCUGUUUUAGUUAGUUAAUGUUUUCGGACCACAGAGGAUGUGGUAACGGUUUCAGACACUGUUAUUUAACCACCACAGAAUGUGGCAGGAAACGAUAGCGCUUCGCUGAUGGCAACAAAGAAAUUUUGAGUCAUGAGAGAUCCGAAGUCCAUACACAAGAUCUUCUGGAUCAUGGAAUUUCUGCCUUUCGCUUAAAAUAUAUUUAUGUGUUCUGUUAUAAGGGAGAAAACAAACUUUGCAGGGUCUUCAUGCUCAGUUAUGUGGUACCUGUCCAUAGUAUUUACCUUCACAGUAUAUGGAACCCAUGGUUGUGUGAUAACCAGUCCAGACCAGAAGGCUAAUGCUGGGACAGAUGUCCAUUUGUCGUGUAAUUUCUGGCAAUGUCCUGGACCUCUGGACAUCAUGUCUCUUAGUGUGGAGUGGGAAUUCAAGGAUAUCUCCUCUGAGCCAAAAAUAAUCCUCUACUACAUCAGAAAUCGAACUGUACCACUUCCUGGUGUGUUUUUUCAGGGAGAUGUCGAAUUAGGGAGUUUUGAUAUACAUCUCCCGUCUGUGACCCAUGAGAACAGUGGAACUUAUUUAUGUAGAUUACGUCUCAAUGGCAUUUUUCACAAGAACCAAACACACCUUAUUGUGCAAUCAGCACUGACCAGGAGAAACAAUCCAGGUGUAAAUCAUCUGCAGAAACGUCCUCCCUGGUUGCUGCCCCUGGCCUCAGUGGCAUCAGUGGCUGGGUUUGUGUUACUAAUUGGUACAGUUUUUUGGGGGAGGAAAGCUUACACGUCAACCCAGAGAGAAAACAACUCAAAGCAAAAUAUGGAAGAGGCUAAAACCAGCACUGAUGCUGAAGACAAGGGAAUUAUAUAUAAGGUGGGAUUCAGCAUGCCUGACCUCGCAGACGUGAACAGUCCACCUAGCAGUCCAGAUAACAUCUAUGUUACCAUGCAGCAUGGUUUGCCAUUCGCACCAGAUGUUCCUGCCACAGCUGGACGCAACAGACGUCUUCCCUCUGAUUGGCAGCUGAAGGAUGAGGAACCCGUAUUUGUCCGCUGAUACCAAGAUUUAUUAGUCAGAUCAUGCCACUUGAAAGAUGAGACACAGAAUAAGUGAUUAUUUAAAUUAGUGAGAGUAAGUAUUGUCAGAUAUGCAUUAUAUAGUCCCAAAACAGACUGUUUUGUGUAUUAUUUUUCAAUACUCACCAGCUGUACAUCACUGUACAUUAUCCCUCAUAAUAAAUCUGUUAUUUCCUCAUGCACCUCUUUCAUCAUCUACCAGAUGUCAACAGUGGUCAAUAUAGUUUAGUUACUGCACUUCUUGUGAGCUUCAGCCCUCGACUUUUUCCUAUCUUCUCAAUGACUUCUCAUCAGCAUGAAAUUGCCAAUUCUUCUAACUGUCUCUCUGUCUCUGAAGAGGCAAACAAAAUUGCCCUGCAGUGGAGAAGUGGUUUUAGCAUUACACACUUAAUUAUUCAUGCCAACUGUCCUUUGAGAUUUAAGGAAUCACAGAUCACGAGUUUUGUAAAUCACAAUAAACUAGUUGCUAACCAUUACUGGCAUCAAGGCACACCCUCAAUGAAUGUGCUCUCAUUUCACUAAUCAGAUAAAUAGGCUACACUGCCUACUGUAUAUGGCUAUGUAUAUCUUUAAUAAUCAUCAUCGUAUUUUUCGGCACCAUUCUCAUCCCUUGUGUGCAUUUCCACCUCCUGCUCAUCUCUAGUGCACUUUGAUCUCCAUUAGUGAGGAGAUGAGGAGAGGUUGUCCAACUGCAAGCUAGAGCCUUAUUAUUUGGUUUUGCGUCAACGGCCGUUUGGAUUUUCUUAGGCUGAUUUCUGAUUUUUCUCAAAUUAUGUGACACGUGUAAUAUAAAGAUGCAUUCAGAUUUUUUUUUUUUUUUAAAUCAUGUAAAACUGAUUCAUAUCAUAUUUUAUUUGCUGCUAUUAUAGUAUAUUGUAACAUGGUUCAACUGAACCCGACAAACAACAAUCCACAACCAUACUAUCAACCAGUUUUCCUUCUACAGACACUGCCAGCCAUAUCAUAGCACAAAAUAAAAACAUUUUACGUGUUUUUUUUAGUAUAAUUGAAACGAAAAAAAUAGAUCUCAAAAGCUUUUCUGUUUUUAUUGUCCGCUACGUUUAUUGUCAUCGACCAAAAUGCCUAUUUUAUUGCAUUUUGGGAAAACGCAGUGGGCGUCUUCUUUGAAAUUAUCCUGCGUUGCAUUGAUGGUAUUUCUGGCCUGUCCAGUGAAUUCCAUGGAUGUGCUGGUGCCACCACAGAUCCUCACUCUCAAUGGGACUGAUGUCAGAAUCCCCUGUGCAUUCACUUCAUGCUACAAACUGGACCCCAGCAAGUUUGCCAUGAACUGGACCUAUCAGGAGACAAGCAACAGUACAGAAGAAAUUUUCAUGACCUAUAAGAACAAGAUAACACCCUUGAAGUCGACCCGAUUUGGAGAUCGAGUCAUAUUUUCUGGAAACCUGGAUAAGAACGACCUGAGCAUCACUAUCUCAAAUGUGCAGUUGACAGACGAGGGCAUCUACAACUGCUAUGUGCGCAACCCUCCAGACCGCAUUCGGGGCCACGGCAUCAUUCAGGUCUUCGUCCCGACUGAAUUGCCGCCACCAAGAGAUUCGACCAUUGCUGUUGCCAUUGGGGCAUCUGUGGGGGGAAUUCUAGCUUUGCUCAUUCUGUCCAUGGUAGUGGUGAAGUGUAUUCGCAGACAUAAGAACCAGGAGCUGAUCUCAGAUGAGCAGAAGAUGGAGGAAGAGGGCAAAGCAGAUGGAGAAGGAGGCACAGAAGAAGCAACAAAACAGCCCUAACCGCCAUCUUAGCCCUGGAGGUCUAACGGAUGGUGGAGCUCAAUCCUACACAUUCUGAAAUUUAAGCCUCCUGCCUGAAGAUAUCUAAGACCUUGUUUGACUCUUCAUCCUAUAACGGUCUCAUUCAACAUUCCUCGGUUUUCUCAUGUAGCAGUAGCAUGUCAUAAAGGAAGAUCUCCACCACAGUGCCAUGGUGUCCAGUUACCAGUGAGAAAUCACAAAGGGUUUCAAACUGCCUCUUCCACUCAAUACAACAGGUUAAGGCCCAAAGCCUGGAGCCACAGUGAUACAUAGGCCAGGGAGCCUCACCCUCUGCUGGGCAAAGCCGACACCCACACUGGCUUCUGUUUACUCACACUUUAACUCACUCAGUCCCCUUCUGACUGGCUUAUUUUAUUAAUUUUUUAACUGACAUAUGUGUUAUGUUACACUUCCACAUCCUAUUGUACUCCAAUACAUAUUUAAUAAAUCAAAUUAUAUUGCUUGUUGUUAUAUGAAAAUGUACUUUGAAGGAUUGCUGUGAUACCUCUAAAAUGUUGCUCCAUUUUGACCUCAAAUUCAUUGUAGGGAAUGUAUCUAUUAUUAUUGUUCAUUUGAAUGUUUAAUUCAGUAAUGCUUUAUUGUAUUAUGAACCAAAACUGAGAUUUGCAUAUUGUGUAAUCAUAACUGUUAACUGUUAUUGCUAUGUAUUCAAUGAUAAUCAUGUAUUCAAUGACACUCAGUUACACAUGUACAUUGUAUUUUUACCACCGUGUUUUGCAUUAGAUAUUUGCAUAAUGUGAGCGACAUCAGGCAUCCACAAGAUGUUAAAAAAGGCUCCUAAAGGAUAUAAUAAAACCAUUAAGCUCAUAAUUUGAUUUGCUGCACAGCAGUUAACAUUAAGCCAGCUUCUGAAAUCCAGACUGAGGCUUAAUGAUUUUAUGGCUAGCGCUUUAGUGGUUGCCAUUCAUAGGUUUAGUUGCCAGGAAACAUGACUCCAAAUCCCUGAUUAUCUAGCCUGAUAUUAUACUGAAGGUGAAUUGUAUCAUCACAUAUAUAAUGCAACCAUGAUUGUACUGCCUUGAUGUUUUGUUUCUGUUUUGCAUUUGCCUUCAAGAUUUCAUUUGUACAUCAAGAUCAUUCAAACAUAACAUUUAUGUGGGCAUAAAAAAAUAACAGCAGUCCAGCGAGGUUGGUUGGAAUGGUUUGGGGACCAGUUUUUGCUUUAUUUUUUUCAUCAUGCAUGCCUCUGUUUAGUGUCUCGCUGAAGGUCUGACUCUGGCCUACUUUAAAUACAUACUGUAUACUUGCACUGCACCAUAACUAAGAGCUGCAUCACUGAUUGUUUUUUUUUAGUUUUGGUUUUGUCUUUUCAAUAAAAACAAAGAAACAACGCAUUUUGGUUCUGCCUCUUUUUAAAUCUAAAAAUGUUUUAUUAAUUAAAAGUAAUAAUAUUCAAAGAGAUAGUUCCCUCAAAAAUGUAUUAAUUUACUCUCUCUCGUCAUGUUCAAAACCCAUGACUUACUUUCUUCUGUGGAAAUCAAAUGAAGAUGAC
Molecule: long non-coding RNA, 4600 nt
Organism: Cyprinus carpio carpio
Lineage: Eukaryota; Metazoa; Chordata; Actinopteri; Cypriniformes; Cyprinidae
Source: Ensembl